UAUUGGACAAUGGGCGAAAGCCUGAUCCAGCAAUGCCGCGUGAGUGAUGAAGGCCUUAGGGUUGUAAAGCUCUUUUACCCGGGAUGAUAAUGACAGUACCGGGAGAAUAAGCUCCGGCUAACUCCGUGCCAGCAGCCGCGGUAAUACGGAGGGAGCUAGCGUUGUUCGGAAUUACUGGGCGUAAAGCGCACGUAGGCGGCUUUGUAAGUCAGGGGUGAAAGCCUGGAGCUCAACUCCAGAACUGCCUUUGAGACUGCAUCGCUUGAAUCCGGGAGAGGUGAGUGGAAUUCCGAGUGUAGAGGUGAAAUUCGCAGAUAUUCGGAAGAACACCAGUGGCGAAGGCGGCUCACUGGACCGGUAUGACGCUCAUGCACGAAA
This 378-nucleotide ribosomal RNA is filed under the name uncultured bacterium. RNAcentral's name for it is "bacterial SSU rRNA". It matches the Rfam family "Bacterial small subunit ribosomal RNA", at positions 362 to 758 of the family's 1533-position model. The record is from RNAcentral.